AUACGUAGGGGGCGAGCGUUGUCCGGAAUGACUGGGCGUAAAGGGCGUGUAGGCGGCGGUGUAAGUCUGGAGCGAAAGUCCCGCAUUCAAUGUGGGAAUUGCUUUGGAUACUGCAGUGCUAGAGUGCGGAAGAGGUAAGUGGAAUUCCCAGUGUAGCGGUGAAAUGCGUAGAGAUUGGGAGGAACACCAGUGGCGAAGGCGACUUACUGGGCCGUAACUGACGCUGAGGCGCGAAAGCGUGGGGAGCGAACAGGAUUAGAUACCCUGGUAGUCCACGCGGUAAACGAUGAAUGCUAGGUGUUGUGGGUAUCGACCCCUGCAGUGCCGGAGUAAACACAAUAAGCAUUCCGCCUGGGGAGUACGGCCGCAAGGUUGAAACUCAAAUGAAUUGACGGGG
RNAcentral lists this ribosomal RNA (397 nucleotides) under uncultured bacterium. RNAcentral describes it as "partial 16S ribosomal RNA". It matches the Rfam family "Bacterial small subunit ribosomal RNA", at positions 523 to 918 of the family's 1533-position model. The record is from RNAcentral.